UUUCCGUAGGUGAACCUGCGGAAGGAUCAUUAUUGUAUAACCGAGGUGCGAGGGCUGUCGCUGACCCGAAAGGUCGUGCACGCCCGAGUGCCCUCACACACAUCCAUCUCACCCCUAUGUGCACCACCGCGUGGGUCCCCCUUUGGCUUGUUCGGAGGGGGGCUUACGUUUUCACACAAACUUUGUAUGCAGUGUAGAAUGUAUUUUUUGUUUUUGCGAUCACGCAAUCAAUACAACUUUCAACAACGGACCUCUUGGCUCUCGCAUCGAUAAAGAACGCAGC
Molecule: unclassified non-coding RNA, 283 nt
Filed under: plant metagenome
Description: partial contains small subunit ribosomal RNA, internal transcribed spacer 1, and 5.8S ribosomal RNA
Rfam family: 5.8S ribosomal RNA (bases 235-283)
Source: RNAcentral